Hylaeus volcanicus is the source of this 1702-nucleotide long non-coding RNA. RefSeq lists it as uncharacterized. The transcript has 3 exons. The record is from RefSeq and is a predicted model, not a curated record. Lineage: Eukaryota; Metazoa; Arthropoda; Insecta; Hymenoptera; Colletidae.
UCAUAGAAUAACUCUCAUGAAGAGAGCUCAAAGUAACCGAGUUAAAAAACAAAGAAUGACUAUCGGUAAAGAAAUCGAUGACGUAAGAAUUUCUGUUAACAUUACUAUUCGGUGUGAAACAUUUAUUGAAUGGAAUGUAUUCGCUCAAACAGAAGAACAGGAAGCUUUUAACACAUCUAAUUAUCUUCAAGUUUUUGUAUAUUUAUAAAUUAUGGCACAUGUAUCUUUAAUUCUUAUGUUAUGAUUCUAGUUGAAUGUUGUACUUUAAUACGUUUUAAAAUGUAGUAUCAACAGGGUUUUUUUUUUUUUAAUUUGUUAAAGACGCAUAGACUUUUACUAUGAUUGGUAACCUUAGGUAGGGAAAUCAAUAUGAUGGAAAAGACAAUGCUAUCGCUAAAUGAAUAUGAAGAUUCGUAUAAUAAAGUAAAAAAUCGAAACGGCAUCGGUCGUGUAGUCACAUUCAGUGCGGAAUUGUUGCAAAUCAUGAGCAAAGUACUGAAAAACGCAAAAAAGUUGGUCUUGCCAGCCACAAACACAUUGAAGAAAAAAUAUAUGUCUGUAAAUGAUUAUCAUAAGUGCAGACUCCUACUUCUUCAAAAGAGGCUACCACGACUUAUGAUAGAUUUCCAAAAUAUUAUACAGUACCUAUAUUUAUCAAACAGUUGGGACCAAAACGACAUUUGCGUCUAUGUAUUUAGUGACCAUAAUUUGAAACGUUCCCAAUUGUUAGAUUUGCUCAAGCGUUAUUUUAGUAUUCCCGAGAAGACCCUUUUAGGCGGUUACCUAGAAGAAUAUCAAUUCAACUGUAAAAGGUUCCGUUUUUUAUUAUGAGACACCUAAGCGUGUCGAAACUAAGCUUUUUGUAUACACCUGAAGUUAACAAAUUUUUCUUAAUAAAUGACCCACGACAUUAAUGCUAUAUAGGUUGUUUUUAUUUAAUGAUGAUAUAGCUGACCGUGGACGUUAUGCUGUUGAAAUUUUUUUAAUACUUUUUUCAUUUAAACUAGCUUUCCAAGUAGUGUUAUUAUUAAUAGACGAAAUCACGAAAGCUGGAAUAUGAAUGAAAUUCACGGUUUUUUCACAGAAGGUUAAGCAAUGUGUUAAAAAAAAAAAUUAUUCAAGUUAACCUUGCAUCUUUUUGUUUAGUUCGAACUAAAUAUUGCGUUUCUAUUUAUAAAAAAUUUUAAGAUAUUUUCAAUAAGCUACGACUAUGUAUAGUUGUGAAAAAAAAAAUUCUUGUUGUUCAUGUCGGUUAGUUACGACAUAAUGAAGUCACAAUCAAAAUGAUUAAUAAGAUUUAUCGUAAAAAACAAUGCUUUUUGCUCCGUCAUCCUUAGAGUUACUUUUAAAUGUUUAUUUUGCUCUAAUUAAAAAUUGAAAUUGCCUUGCACACCAGGGUACGAUACUCUUUGAUAUGUUAUGGUUAGAUCCCGUGGAUGGCUUAGGUACAAACUUCAAUGGGCGUGGAGUGGAUUGUAUAGCGUUUGGUCCGAAUGUCAGUUAAAAUUUUUUUUCGCAAAGAAAUCAUCAUGGGAUAUGUAUUUGUUCUCGUUAGGUGACUUUUUUUUAUGAAUGUGUUUUCAAUCCCUUUACGGUAAAAGACCGAUUGAGACUAGAAGAACGAAUCUACAAUAUAGAAAUUUUCAAUUGAAUGAAUUAAAUAUAAUAGAUAGAAAGAACAAUAGUUUGACGUCUUUAUGUU